GGAGUUGUAGUUUCGUGGGUCCUGGAGCGGCCCCGUUCCCAUCUCCCUUCUGGAUCGCAGCCCCGCUGCCCUUCAGGAAAGCGCUGCCCCGGCCACCCACGCUGGCCUAUGCGGUGGCUCCGACCGUGUUUUUUGCCGGACGGGGGCUCGGCCUUGGGGGGGCGCGGAGGUGAAACUACACUUCCCGGAGUGCACCGCGAGGGUCGCGCAGCCACGCGUUAAAGAGCCCGCUCCGCCGAGCGCCGAGCGCCGGGCGACGGCAGGAAGCCCCUCCGCUUGGCCAGAAUGGAGCAGCCGAAGGGAGUUGAUUGGACAGUCAUCAUCCUGACCUGCCAGUACAAGGACAGUGUCCAGGUCUUUCAGAGAGAACUGGAAGUGCGGCAGAAGCGGGAGCAGAUCCCUGCUGGGACGCUGUUACUGGCUGUGGAGGACCCAGAGAAGCGUGUGGGCAGCGGAGGAGCCACCCUCAACGCCCUGCUGGUGGCUGCUGAACACCUGAGUGCCCGGGCAGGCUUCACUGUGGUCACAUCCGAUGUCCUGCACUCGGCCUGGAUCCUCAUUCUGCACAUGGGUCGAGACUUCCCCUUUGAUGACUGUGGCAGGGCCUUCACCUGCCUCCCCAUGGAGAACCCCGAGGGCCCCGUGGAAGCCUUGGUCUGCAACCUGGACUGCCUGCUGGACAUCAUGACCUAUCGGCUAGGCCCGGGCUCCCCGCCAGGCGUGUGGGUCUGCAGCACCGACAUGCUGCUGUCUGUUCCUGCAAAUCCUGGGAUCAGCUGGGACAGCUUCCGGGGAGCCAGAGUGAUCGCCCUCCCAGGGAGCCCGGCCUACGCUCAGAAUCAUGGCGUCUACCUAACUGACCCCCAGGGCCUUGUUUUGGACAUUUACUACCAGGGCACUGAGGCAGAGAUUCAGCGGUGUGUCAGGCCUGAUGGGCGGGUGCCACUGGUCUCUGGGGUUGUCUUCUUCUCUGUGGAGACUGCCGAGUGCCUCCUAGCCACCCACGUGAGCCCGCCCCUGGAUGCCUGCACCUACCUAGGCUUGGACUCCGGAGCCCGGCCUGUCCAGCUGUGCUUCUUCCCCUUCCCCCAGCUGUCUCUGUUUUUUGACAUUCUCCACUGCAUGGCUGAGAACGUGACCAGGGAGGACUUCCUGGUUGGGAGGCCCCCAGAGUUGGGGCAAGGCGAUGCAGAUGUAGCGGGUUAUCUGCAGAGCGCCCGGGCCCAGCUGUGGAGGGAGCUUCGCGAUCAGCCCCUUACCAUGGCCUAUGUCUCCAGCGGCAGCUACAGCUACAUGACCUCCUCAGCCAGUGAGUUCCUGCUCAGCCUCACACUCCCCGGGGCUCCUGGGGCCCAGAUUGUGCACUCCCAGGUGGAGGAGCAGCAGCUCCUGGCGGCCGGGAGCUCUGUGGUCAGCUGCCUGCUGGAGGGCCCUGUCCGGCUGGGUCCUGGGAGCGUCCUGCAGCACUGCCACCUGCGGGGCCCCAUUCACAUAGGUGCUGGCUGCUUGGUGACUGGUCUGGAUGCAGCCCACUCCAAGGCCCUGCAUGGCCGGGAGCUGCGUGACCUUGUCCUGCAGGGACACCACACGCGGCUACACGGCUCCCUGGGCCAUGCCUUCACCCUCGUUGGCCGUCUGGACAGCUGGGAGAGACAGGGGGCAGGCACAUAUCUCAACGUGCCCUGGAGUGAAUUCUUCAAGAGGACAGGUGUUCGAGCCUGGGACCUGUGGGACCCCGACACGCUGCCCGCAGAGUACUGCCUUCCCAGCGCCCGCCUCUUUCCUGUGCUCCACCCCUCGAGGGAGCUGGGACCCCAGGACCUGCUGUGGAUGCUGGACCACCAGGAGGAUGGGGGCGAGGCCCUGCGAGCCUGGCGAGCCUCCUGGCGCCUGUCCUGGGAGCAGCUGCAGCCGUGCCUGGAUCGGGCUGCCACGCUGGCCUCUCGCCGGGACCUGUUCUUCCGCCAGGCCCUGCAUAAGGCGCGGCACGUGCUGGAGGCCCAGCAGGACCUCAGCCUGCGCCCGCUGAUCUGGGCUGCUGUCCGCGAGGGCUGCCCCGGGCCCCUGCUGGCCACGCUGGACCAGGUUGCAGCUGGGGCAGGAGACCCUGGCGUGGCAGCACGGGCACUGGCCUGUGUGGCGGAUGUCCUGGGCUGCAUGGCAGAGGGCCGUGGGGGCUUGCGGAGCGGGCCAGCUGCCAACCCUGAGUGGAUGCGGCCCUUCUCAUACCUGGAGUGUGGAGACCUGGCAGCGGGCGUGGAGGCACUUGCCCAGGAGAGGGACAAGUGGCUAAGCAGGCCAGCCUUGCUGGUGCGAGCGGCCCGCCACUAUGAGGGGGCUGGUCAGAUCCUGAUCCGCCAGGCUGUGAUGUCAGCGCAGCACUUUGUCUCCACAGAGCAGGUGGAACUGCCGGGACCUGGGCAGUGGGUGGUGGCUGAGUGCCCGGCCCGUGUGGAUUUCUCUGGGGGCUGGAGUGACACGCCACCCCUUGCCUAUGAGCUUGGCGGGGCUGUGCUGGGCCUGGCUGUGCGAGUGGACGGCCGCCGGCCCAUCGGAGCCAGGGCACGCCGCAUCCCGGAGCCUGAGCUGUGGCUGGCGGUGGGGCCUCGGCAGGAUGAGAUGACUGUGAAGAUAGUGUGCCGGUGCCUGGCUGACCUGCGGGACUACUGCCAGCCUCAUGCCCCAGGGGCCCUGCUGAAGGCGGCCUUCAUCUGUGCAGGGAUUGUGCAUGUCCACUCGGAACUCCAGCUGAGUGAGCAGCUGCUCCGCACCUUUGGGGGCGGCUUUGAGCUGCACACCUGGUCUGAGCUGCCCCACGGCUCUGGCCUGGGCACCAGCAGCAUCCUGGCAGGCACUGCCCUGGCUGCCUUGCAGCGAGCCGCAGGCCGGGUGGUGGGCACGGAAGCCCUGAUCCACGCAGUGCUGCACCUGGAGCAGGUGCUCACCACUGGAGGUGGCUGGCAGGACCAAGUAGGUGGCCUAAUGCCUGGCAUCAAGGUGGGGCGCUCCCGGGCUCAGCUGCCACUGAAGGUGGAGGUAGAAGAGGUCACGGUGCCUGAGGGCUUUGUCCAGAAGCUCAAUGACCACCUGCUCUUGGUGUACACUGGCAAGACCCGCCUGGCUCGGAACCUGCUGCAGGAUGUGCUGAGGAGCUGGUAUGCCCGACUUCCUGCUGUGGUGCAGAAUGCCCACAGCCUGGUGCGGCAAACUGAGGAGUGUGCUGAAGGCUUCCGCCAAGCAGCACGUCUUGGCACUUCAUGCAAUCUCCAGAUGGGUGCUGAGUAUCUUGGCCCAGGCACGUCACUCCCCUCUGCCCCACCUCAGGAAGCCUGCCUCUGCUGGGCCAGUGCCUGACCUCAUACUGGGAGCAGAAGAAGCUCAUGGCUCCAGGCUGUGAGCCCCUGACUGUGCGGCGUAUGAUGGAUGUCCUGGCCCCCCACGUGCAUGGCCAGAGCCUGGCUGGGGCAGGCGGUGGAGGCUUUCUCUAUCUGUUGACCAAGGAGCCACAGCAAAAGGAGGCCUUGGAGGCGGUGCUGGCCAAGACCGAGGGCCUUGGGAAUUACAGCAUCCACCUGGUUGAAGUGGACACUCAGGGCCUGAGCCUGAAGCUGCUGGGGACCGAGGCCUCAACCUGUUGCCCUUUCCCAUGAAGCUGGCUUCUCUCUGCAACAGGAGAAAACCUGGAGCUACAGUGUCCCCCACCUUCCUUGCCCCAUGGGAACCUCCACCUCCUACUCCCCACCCACCUCUGCGAAUCUGCUCCCAAAGGGAGCUGACCAGAGCAAGAUCUGGGCAAGCAGAGAGUGCCUGGGACAGGACUGUGACCUGGUGGACAGUGGCCUAGGUGUAGCCUCUGUUCCUCCUGGACAUAGGAAGAUCCCAAGCUUAGUAUCCCACGUGGCCUUUACAAAUCCUAUGGCUGGCCUUCUCAUUCCACAAGGGCCCUGGAAAGGGUUGACAGCCAGCCUUGGCAUAUGGCUGGGAGUCCCUUAGCAAGGCCAACCCUGAAGAGGCCCUUCGAGACAUUCCCUAUGGCUUAGAGUUGUAGACUUACACUCAACCCUCAUGUGAGUGUGGGAGUGAGGGUGGCGGUCCCUUGCCAAGUUGGUAGCAGUGACCCAGUGAUUCACUGCCAUCCCAGGCCUUAACUAGCAAAACUACGGAGCGUGCCAAGUGACCUGGUGCCUGUGGGAAGUGGGUUCUCAGGACUGGCAUUCUUGGAAUAAAUUCACUCUGUCCUUGCA
RNA transcript from Pan troglodytes (chimpanzee), 4244 nucleotides. It is a transcript of the gene named fucose kinase, with no coding region annotated. NCBI's taxonomy places the organism in Eukaryota, Metazoa, Chordata, Mammalia, Primates, Hominidae. The record is from RefSeq and is a predicted model, not a curated record. The transcript is spliced from 24 exons.